This 191-nucleotide microRNA precursor is filed under the name Oryza brachyantha (malo sina). Its description in RNAcentral is "MIR812 microRNA precursor family". It matches the Rfam family "MIR812 microRNA precursor family". Lineage: Eukaryota; Viridiplantae; Streptophyta; Magnoliopsida; Poales; Poaceae. The record is from Rfam by way of RNAcentral.
AAUAAACCAAUUUUUUAUUUUUUACCAAUAAUUUUUGACUCUUUGUCUUAUUUAAAUUUUUUUAUUAAUAUUUUUGUUUUUAUUAGAUGACAAAUCAUGAAUAGUACUUUACGUGUGACUAAUUUUUUUCUAAUUUCCUAAAAAAUUUUCAAAUAAGAUAGAUAGUCAAACGUUGGACACGGAAAUCGGAG